AUGUACCACGCUUACACUCCGCUUCCUCCGCGCCAACCUGACGACUGCUCGCUACGUUUUGUUAGCC
Molecule: small RNA, 67 nt
Filed under: Xanthomonas fragariae
Lineage: Bacteria; Pseudomonadati; Pseudomonadota; Gammaproteobacteria; Lysobacterales; Lysobacteraceae
Description: sX9 sRNA
Rfam family: Xanthomonas sRNA sX9
Source: RNAcentral